UAGGGAAUCUUCCACAAUGGGCGAAAGCCUGAUGGAGCAACGCCGCGUGUGUGAUAAAGGGUUUCGGCUCGUAAAACACUGUUGUAAGAGAAGAAUGACAUUGAGAGUAACUGUUCAAUGUGUGACGGUAUCUUACCAGAAAGGAACGGCUAAAUACGUGCCAG
RNAcentral lists this ribosomal RNA (164 nucleotides) under uncultured bacterium. RNAcentral describes it as "partial 16S rRNA". It matches the Rfam family "Bacterial small subunit ribosomal RNA", at positions 355 to 511 of the family's 1533-position model. The record is from RNAcentral.